ACAGAUUGCAUCGUUAGGGUUAUACCCAAACCCAAACCCUUUCUCUGUCGGCGAAGAGUCACCAAACAACCGAUCAAACCGGUAAUAGCAUUUUUGAGCAACAUGUCCUAACCGGCCACAUAGUUGACAUUGUGGACGACCACGACCAUGAUAGGAAGCUCGAUCACGGGGUGAAAGAUCUGACGAAUAGGACUCGAUCGAGGAACUCUGUUCUACCGGAGAAGACCCAAACAGAGCAGACUGUUGAAUUAGAUUCGCCUGAACAGGAACCUCAACUACAAAUUGUUUCUGUCGAUUCUCACACUCAAGAAGCAUGCUGGUGAGACGAUCCAACGGAAGAGACUCAGAAGCAUAUGAGGCAAAUGUCAAGACUGAGUCGAACUCCAUUGAAAAACCAACAAAGAUGACGCUCACUUAUUCUUCAUUAAGAACAUCAUGACCGAAAGCACUCAAAAGAUCACAAGUGGCCUUGAUUUUGGCCAAAUACUCCUUCACAGUCAGGUGACCUUUUUUCAGAGAAUGCCACGAGUGCCUUAAGUGAGACACCAUGGUGUUUGACGUCGCCACAAAUAGAAGACAAGCCUUGCUCCAAACAGCAUAAGUCGUGGUGGUGCCUGUAAAGUAAGGGACAACCGGAGGAGGAGUAACCACUGUGUCGGUGAUAAAGUCGGUUAGUCCAUAACCAUCACCAAUAAGACUAACCUGAUGCUUCCACUGAACAAACGUGCUUUUUUGAAGCUUUAUUAUAUCAUGACGAGGAAACGAGUGAAUGGCUCGAAACGCAGUGCCUCCCUACGAGAAACAAGAAGUCAAAAACCACUGAGUAGGGAUCGAAGCUGCAGAAUCCUCAAUCUAGUCCACGAUCCACCCACACCAUACUCAGUCAUCAUCCAAAAAUCAUCGUGCAUCAGAUGGCGGUUAUGAAGCACACAAAGGCAACCAUUAAGAACUCCUACCACGAACACACAUGUAGAACCAACAAUGUCAGGUGAUGGCAUGUCCUAAAAGGGGAUUUGAUAUAAGAGAAAGUCAUUGUUUUAAGACACACUUGUAUUGGCAAAGCGUUUUGACAACUAAUCUUGAAAGGAUUUCCACCAUGAUUUCUUGGGGAAGAAUGGGGAUUUCAGCUCAUUCCCCUACAACUAGUGACUACUGCUGAAAUCUUUGUUCUUUUCUCAUGAUUUUGAUGGAAUAUCAAAGAACAAAGAGUGAUGAAAUGCCUCAAAGAGGAGAGAAAAUGGAUUUGAGCAAUUGUACAUUCUUGAAAAAUGAUAAAUAUUGAAUUUGCAGCUUCGUGUUUUAGAAUUA
Molecule: long non-coding RNA, 1308 nt
Organism: Gossypium raimondii (Peruvian cotton)
Lineage: Eukaryota; Viridiplantae; Streptophyta; Magnoliopsida; Malvales; Malvaceae
Exons: 2
Source: RefSeq, a predicted model, not a curated record